RNAcentral lists this non-coding RNA (100 nucleotides) under Pedobacter ginsenosidimutans. RNAcentral's name for it is "SAM-I sequence". It matches the Rfam family "SAM riboswitch aptamer (S box leader)". From Rfam's summary of the family: The SAM riboswitch is found upstream of a number of genes which code for proteins involved in methionine or cysteine biosynthesis in Gram-positive bacteria. Lineage: Bacteria; Pseudomonadati; Bacteroidota; Sphingobacteriia; Sphingobacteriales; Sphingobacteriaceae. The record is from RNAcentral.
UACUUAUCAAGAAAGACGUAGGGAAUGGCCCUUUGAUGUCUUAGCAACCUGUUGAUUAACAAGGUGCUAAUUCCUUCUGCAAUAGCAGAAAAGAUGAGUU